AGAGUUUGAUCAUGGCUCAGGACGAACGCUUGCGGCGUGCCUAAAAAAUGCAAGUCGAGCGGGGCAUCCAGCAAUGGGUGUCCAGCGGCGAACGGUCGCGUAACACGUAAGCAACCUGCCCUCAAGACCGGGAUAACAGCGCGAAAGCGCUGCUAAUACCGGAUGUGCCUGUUGCUGGGCAUCCAGCGACAAGUAAAUCAGGCCCGCCUAAGAACGGGACUGGCUUGGGGAGGGGCUUGCGGCCUAUCAGCUAGUUGGUGGGGUAACGGCCUACCAAGGCGACGACGGGUAGCUGGUCUGAGAGGACGGCCAGCCGGACUGGGACUGAGACACGGCCCAGACUCCUACGGGGGGCAGCAAUUAGGAAUCUUGCACAAUGGGCGAAAGCCUGAUGCAGCGACGCCGCGUGGAGGAGGAAGUCCUUCGGGAUGUAAACUCCUUUUGGGGGAGACGAAGGUAAAGGUGACGGUAUCCCCUGAAUAAGCCCCGGCUAACUACGUGCCAGCAGCCGCGGUAAUAC
Molecule: ribosomal RNA, 520 nt
Filed under: uncultured bacterium
Lineage: Bacteria
Description: bacterial SSU rRNA
Rfam family: Bacterial small subunit ribosomal RNA
Source: RNAcentral